CCUACGGGAGGCAGCAGUGAGGAAUAUUGGUCAAUGGCCGGAAGGCUGAACCAGCCAAGCCGCGUGAAGGACGAAGGUGCCAAGCAUUGUAAACUUCUUUUGUCAAGGAACAAAAUCAGGCUCGAGAGCCUGAACGAGGGUACUUGAAGAAAAAGCAUCGGCUAACUCCGUGCCAGCAGCCGCGGGAAUACGUAUGGUGCAAGCGUUAUCCGGAUUUACUGGGUGUAAAGGGAGCGCAGGCGGCACGGCAAGCCUGAUGUGAAAGCCCGCGGCCCAACCGCGGGACUGCAUUGGGAACUACCGUGCUGGAGUGCCGGAGAGGUAGGCGGAAUUCCUAGUGUAGCGGUGAAAUGCGUAGAUAUUAGGAGGAACACCAGUGGCGAAGGCGGCCUACUGGACGGUGACUGACGCUGAGGCUCGAAAGCGUGGGGAGCAAACAGGAUUAGAUACCCCAGUAGUC
Molecule: ribosomal RNA, 460 nt
Filed under: uncultured bacterium
Lineage: Bacteria
Description: partial 16S ribosomal RNA
Rfam family: Bacterial small subunit ribosomal RNA
Source: RNAcentral